UCAUAGAAUUUCUUUAAAUUCAUGAUGUCGUAAGGGAAAAUAAUGAUAAUACCUUACUAUGAGUGUCGUCCAAAUCUGGUGCCAGAAGACUCGGUAAGACCAGAGACGCAAACGUUAAUCAUCAUAAACAGGCGUAAAGGGUUUGUAGGCAGCUUUUAUAAAAUUGUCAAGGUAAUUUAAUUGAAAGCUAGAAUCAAAAAGAGGUUAUAGUGUAUAACGCCUAGAGGAGGGCUGAUAUCCGUAGAUCCUAGGCAGAAUACUCAGGGCGAAGGCCACUCUCCACUAAUGAUUGACGCUGAAAAACGAAGGUUAGGGUAGGAAAUAGGAUUAGAUACCCCGGUACUCCUUUCUGUAAACGAUGAAUGGUAGUCAUUAGUUUAAUUAAAAUAACUAGAGGCGAAGUUAACACAAUAACCAUUCCGCCUUGUGAGUACUACUGCAAAGUAGAAAACAAAAAAAUUAGUCGGUCUCGAAGCAAACGGAGUGAAGCAUGUUAUUUA
This 500-nucleotide ribosomal RNA is filed under the name Ganoderma applanatum. RNAcentral describes it as "SSU rRNA". It matches the Rfam family "Bacterial small subunit ribosomal RNA", at positions 406 to 948 of the family's 1533-position model. Lineage: Eukaryota; Fungi; Basidiomycota; Agaricomycetes; Polyporales; Polyporaceae. The record is from RNAcentral.